This is a long non-coding RNA of Vespula pensylvanica (western yellowjacket), 1692 nucleotides long. RefSeq lists it as uncharacterized. The record is from RefSeq and is a predicted model, not a curated record. Lineage: Eukaryota; Metazoa; Arthropoda; Insecta; Hymenoptera; Vespidae. The transcript is spliced from 2 exons.
CUAUUCGGGUGCAUACAUAAAUCGCGGAUAAAUCACGACAGGGACGGGCCUCGGUGUGCGGCGAGCAUGCAUGGAAAAGCAAAAACGGUGGCUCCUAUCGGCCUUAAAAAGGAUCACCGGUAGUCGUCACCCGUGUUCGAUGCUGGAUGCUUAGAAUUUCGAUAAAUCUAAGUUGGCACGUAGAAGGGAAGGAGUGGAUGGAGUGAGACUAAAGUAGAAAAAGAAAGAAAGAAGAAGAUAGAUAGAUAGAGAAAGACAGAGAGAGAGAGAGAGAGAGAGAGAGAGAGAGAGAGAGAGAGAGGGCGGCUUCUGUCUUUCAUUCGAGAUCGUGCAUCGGCUUGGCUCCUUUCCAAAAUCGUCCUUCUUUUCUCCAUCCCGUAAACAAAGCGCACUUAAGACCACGGUGACAGCCACGACUCGUGCUUCUCAUUCAGAGAUAGAUAAAGAAAGAGAAAGAAAGAAAGAGAGAGAGAUAGAGAUAGAGUGCAUCCGGUUCAAUCGAAAUUAAUCGUUGCUUUCGCGAGAACCCAUACGUACACGUUUCUGUCUCUUUUUCUUCUUCUUCUUCUUCUUCUUCUUCUUCUUCUUCUUCUCUUUUUUCUUCUUCUUCUUCUUCAACGAAAAGAAAAAUGAAUCGUUGAAGACUAUCCUUUGCCUCUCUUUCUCUCUCUCUCUCUCUCUCUUUUCUCUUUCUUUCUCUCUCUCUUUCAAAUGGCUUCUACGGAUCGUGAUCGAGAUUUGGAGCAACUCCAGCGCGAAGUACAGAGCAUGCCUCUUCGGUAUAUAUUCCGUUUUAUCGUUUCCCUCGCUCGAAGAAGAUACGGUCACCCCGGUUUGGUACCGAUAACCUCGCCGUCUGACCUUAUUAUAUCUCGGUCCUUCGCACACACAAGAUUCUCCUUCGUCGCUUCUACCGAUAAUAAUUUUCAACUUUAACGCUCUCGCUCGUGUCGACAGAGUGAGCACGCAAGAGCAUAGCUACUUAUUUGAUAGUACGAGAGAGACAGACAGAGAAAGAGAGAGAGAGAGAAAGAGGACAUAGAAAAAGAAAGAGAGAGAAAGAGAGAGAAAGAGAGAGAGAGAGAGAGAGAGAGAUAAGGAAUUUCCUGGAAUCUAUAGCUACUCUCGAUCGAGACCGAUCGAGGCCACGAGUCAAUGAAUUUCCGUACGAUGAAUGAAUUCCCCUUCUCUUUUAAUGAUUCUCGCUUUUCCGAUCGGUCCAUCUUGGAAAAAGAAGUUCGGAGAUACUAUGUAAGUAAGGAAAGAAGGAAGGAAGGAAGUACGUGUGUAAGUAUAUAUCUCGAUGUUCUCUAUCGAUUGGAAUGUUUUAUAUAAAGUGAACGUCGUUUAUCGGUCGGUCGGUCGAAUGCAUGCGCAGCACAUUCUCGAAGCGACGCGACGGCAUCGUAUGACCCAGUAUUGCAUCACAUAACAUCAAGUAAACAGGCGCCUUUUUAACUAUCAAGUCUAAUCGUUCUAAGAUAACGAUUCCUAAAAACAGUAUAAUUGCCGUAUGAUCUUACGAGAAGAGAAAUGCGUUCGAUCAACUAAAUAGCCAAAAUCUUGUUUAAAAAUAAUAAAUGAUUUUCAAGAAAUACGAGAUAAACGUUAUCGAGUUAAAUCCUAUGGAACUCGUAUGGAAAGUUUUCGUUCUCCGAUAUGAUUAAUAAAAUAUAUCUUUCUUCUUUUUUA